AACGAACGCUGGCGGCAUGCCUAACACAUGCAAGUCGAACGAGACCUUCGGGUCUAGUGGCGCACGGGUGCGUAACGCGUGGGAACCUGCCCUUAGGUUCGGAAUAACUCCCCGACAGGGGUGCUAAUACCGGAUAAUGUCUUCGGACCAAAGAUUUAUCGCCUUUGGAUGUGCCCGCGUUGGAUUAGCUAGUUGGUAGGGUAAAAGCCUACCAAGGCGACGAUCCAUAGCUGGUCUGAGAGGAUGAUCAGCCACACUGGGACUGAGACACGGCCCAGACUCCUACGGGAGGCAGCAGUGGGGAAUAGUGGACAACGGGCGAAAGCCUGAUCCAGCAAUGCCGCGUGAGUGAUGAAGGCCUUAGGGUUGUAAAGCGCUUUUACCCGGGAUGAUAAUGACAGUACCGGGAGAAUAAGCUCCGGCUAACUCCGUG
Molecule: ribosomal RNA, 433 nt
Filed under: uncultured bacterium
Lineage: Bacteria
Description: partial 16S ribosomal RNA
Rfam family: Bacterial small subunit ribosomal RNA
Source: RNAcentral